RNAcentral lists this ribosomal RNA (165 nucleotides) under Pseudopassalora sp. Its description in RNAcentral is "partial large subunit ribosomal RNA". It matches the Rfam family "Eukaryotic large subunit ribosomal RNA", at positions 99 to 261 of the family's 3401-position model. Lineage: Eukaryota; Fungi; Ascomycota; Dothideomycetes; Pleosporales. The record is from RNAcentral.
CGGCAACAGCUCAAAUUUGAAAUCUGGCUCCCUCGGGGUCCGAGUUGUAAUUUGAAGAGGAUGCCUCGCGGACGGCGCCGCCCUAAGUCCCUUGGAACAGGGCGUCAGAGAGGGUGAGAGUCCCGUAUGGGGGCGGAGGCCCGACGCGUGUGAGGCUCCUUCGAC